Molecule: non-coding RNA, 100 nt
Organism: Acanthosepion pharaonis
Lineage: Eukaryota; Metazoa; Mollusca; Cephalopoda; Sepiida; Sepiidae
Source: the annotation of a GenBank genome assembly
CAUUAAAACACCGGUUCUCGUAUGAUCAUGAAAGUUAAGCAGCGUCAUGACUGGUCAGUACCUAGGUUGGUUACCAUUUGCGAACACCAGGUGAUGUAAG